This 519-nucleotide long non-coding RNA is filed under the name Homo sapiens (human). RNAcentral describes it as "HSALNT0261451". The record is from RNAcentral. Lineage: Eukaryota; Metazoa; Chordata; Mammalia; Primates; Hominidae.
UGGCUGUGGUCGGAGUAGGAGAAAAACUCACCCCUAUAUUCCUUAGACUUAGCUGGUGUGAGGGUCUUUUCAGAAACAUUAUGCACCAUGGAAUCUUCUCCCGUGGAAACGGUGGACACAGGACUGAGUCCUCUCUUUAAUUCAUGACUCUUGCAUUCCGUGGGACUUUCCCCGUUGGUGGCAAUAUCAGACCUCAGAAGACUUUCUGGAUCGCCUAGCAAACUAUCUAACCAGGUGUCCUCUAUACAGGCUUCUCCGAAAUUGGAGUUCCAGAAGCCAUCCUUGGAUAACAUCUCUAUAAUCUCCUGGGAGAAUCCUUCUUCGAAGAAAUCCUCCAUCAGAGGAGAGUUCUUGGUCUCAGUCACAUCUGAAAGAGCAAGUGCAAAUGUCUCCUGUUCACUAAGGCUCCCAGGACAAGGGGAUGGAAGCCAGCGAGAAGCAGAGUGAAGUCCUGAAGCUGAGCGUUGUAAUGUCUCGGUAGACCUGUGGGAAAGCUGGCUGCAGCCUCAGGAUGGAGGU